Molecule: long non-coding RNA, 1034 nt
Filed under: Macaca mulatta (Rhesus monkey)
Lineage: Eukaryota; Metazoa; Chordata; Mammalia; Primates; Cercopithecidae
Description: lncRNA (ENSMMUG00000051477.1)
Source: RNAcentral
GUGGGCGCCAAGCUGAGCGGCCUCAAGUCUCUGGAGCUGGAGGUCGAGGAAGAGGGUGCCACAAAGUCCAGCAGGGACCCCCUGGCCUCCAGGGCGGCCCCAGAGGAGCACGGCAGGAGAGGCGAGGACCUGAAGGUGCGGCUGCCCCUCCCAAGCCUCAUGUGGCCUCUGCCCGGAGCCCGGCCUGAGCCCGAGCCUUGUGCCCCACAGGGGAGGAUGGUUCUGGCCCAGCAGUACCUGGCUCAGGCAUCAGAAGUGCUGCUGCAGUGCCUACAGGUGGCCCUUGGCAGUGGCCUCCUGGAUGUCGCAGCAGCCGCCAGCCUGGAGAUGGUGGAAUGCGUCGGCACCCUGGACCCCGCAACUACCUGCCAGUUCCUGGCUCUGUCUCAGGUGUGUCUUUGCCCCACGCACCUCCAGCCAGGCCUUCACAGAGGAGGGAGGACCCUGGGCUUCAGCUGGGGCCCUCGCCUUGGGGGUCGCCGUUAGAGAAACAGGCCACAGGCCGGGGUCCUCAAACAGUGGGAGCCUGCCGACCACGUAAACUUGUGGCUCAGAGAGAACAUGCAUUCGUGUACUUAUCCCUGAACCCCUGCAUCAGGCAGACCUGGAGACCCGGCAGUCACAGGCCAGCAGGGCCCUGUCCGUGCGGACCUCACAGAGGUCCCACAGAGGGAACAAGCGUGGCCUCACGCAACUCUCCAGGUGCCAGGAGGAGCCAGCAUCCCAGAGGAGCCCAUUCCUGCUCCCAGGCUGCAGCCACUGCACGCCCUUCGCAGGGUGCAAGGCCUCCCCGCCCAGGCCUUGGGCCCCUGUCAUACCUCCCCUGCUCCCUUUCAGAGCUGCUCGGCCUCGGAGACAAUGAGGGAUGUCCUGCUUGCAGCCACGGCCAACACCAGCAGCUCACAGCUGGCGGCCCUGCUGCAGCUACAGCACCGGCUCCGGUGCCAAGACAGGACCACCACCAGCCUGGGUGCCAGUGUGGAGCAGAGGCUGGCUGCCGUGUCCAAGGCUUGGCAAAAUCUCUGCGUCACUGA